Molecule: ribosomal RNA, 301 nt
Filed under: uncultured bacterium
Lineage: Bacteria
Description: partial 16S ribosomal RNA
Rfam family: Bacterial small subunit ribosomal RNA
Source: RNAcentral
CAGCCGCCACGGUAAUACGAAGGGUGCAAGCGUUAUUCGGAAUUACUGGGCGUAAAGCGCACGUAGGCGGCUUUGUAAGUUAGAGGUGAAAGCCCAGAGCUCAACUCUGGAAUUGCCUUUAAGACUGCAUCGCUUGAAUCCAGGAGAGGUGAGUGGAAUUCCGAGUGUAGAGGUGAAAUUCGUAGAUAUUCGGAAGAACACCAGUGGCGAAGGCGGCUCACUGGACUGGUAUUGACGCUGAGGUGCGAAAGCGUGGGGAGCAAACAGGAUUAGAUACCCCAGUAGUCCCUGUCUCUUAUAC